CCGGCCCUCUCGGCCCGAGGAGCGAUUGAUGCGGGGAGGAGGCGCCUGGCGCUAACAAAAGUCUGCGGCGCUGGAGCGGGCGGAGCGGGGCUGCGAGCGGGCGCGGGGCCGAGCAACAAGUGGCUGCUGCGCGGGCGGGGAGGGGGAGCCCGGCAGUGCCGGCGGGACCCGAGGAGCAGCGGCUCCUCCCCAGCGAGCUGCGGAAGGCGCAUCAGUCCCUGCCGGGGGGCGGAGGUGGAGGCUGCGUCCUGGGAUUGCUGCUGCCCCGUGUGUGGAUUAUAACUGGAGCUGCUGCCCAGCCGUGGUGCCCGCAGCGGGGGCCUGAGGGGGCGAGUGCACUGGGGACUUUCUCUCCCCCCCCCUUUUGGGGUGGCUGCUUAGGGCGGGGCUGGUUCUCCAUGAAGGACCCGAGUGCCUAUAGCAUGUAAAAGCCGAACCUCCGCACCAGCGGGGUCCCCGCCCCGAUCGCCUCCUUUCUGUGCCGGGGAGCCAUGGUGUAUGCUGGCAGCGGGAGAGCAUGAAGCCUGCAGGAUGGGCGCGAACAAUGGCAAACAGUACGGCAGUGAGGGCAAAGGCAGCUCAAGCAUCUCAUCCGACGUGAGUUCAAGUACAGAUCACACACCGACCAAAGCUCAGAAGAAUGCGGCUACCAGUGAAGGUUGUUGUUUUCCCAGUAAACCAUGCCCGAAAGAUCCAAUUCGGUUGUGACUUUGGUGGGUGAGGGAAGAAAGAAUCAACUGUAGUCGGCAAGUCUUAUCUGUCUGCCCUACUCAGGUCAAGUAGUGACUAAUGAGCCUAGCAGAUGUAUCUACUUCUGAAAGCUGUUUUGGAAGCAACCUGAUUAACCAAUUUCUCCCAGGAGAUAAGAUAAUGGGAGAGCAAUACAGCUGAGAAUUGACAACUCAUUACAUAGCAGAAGAAUAUAUUGUUGACCCUGGUCUUGUCGACAUUAGGAUUUGAAUCUGAUCUUUUUGCUUUUUUACUCUGAAGAACAGCAUCCAAGUAGAACUUCCUUCAAACCUUUCAGCUACUGUAAUAAGACACAUGUUGGCCAAGAAUACUUGACACAACUUUGAAUAUAAUGAGCCAGAUUUUGUUCCCAGUUGUGCUUGUGUAAAUCCGGGGUAACGCCAUUGACUUCAGUAGAGUUGCUCUAGAUUUACACUGGUGUCACUGAGAUCAUAAUCUGGCCCAUGACUUCGGUGAACAAGCAGCCUGCCUUUUGUUUGUUCCCUGUUGGGGGUAGGGGUUAUGCCAAGGUUCUUCUCCCCCGCCCCCUCCUUUCACAGCUCUUGAAGGCAUUUAUCUGUAACUAAUUAUGUUAAAUGUGAAUAGAUGGAUUGCAAUGUUUCAGUCUUGCAUUGGAAAAUGAGAAGUACUUUUUUUAGGCAACAGCACCCCCUCAGUCCAUGAUUUAAUGGAUAACAUCCUAGUCUCUUUCCUUGACAAUAGGGCACAGGAUAGCAAUUGUAGUGAUUUGUGUACAAGAUAGUUAGCAGGAGAUGCUCAGUGGCCAAUUUGUCGUGUUUGUUUAUAUCCGGGAUUAUAUGGGAGUGGAAAAAUACAAGUGGGGAAGUGGCAUUAAUACUGUAUACUGCAUAAGGAAGACUACUGGAAUACUGUGUCCAGUUGAGAGCGGGCUGAAAAUUUUUUGACACAGCAAUUUUUGUCUAAAUUGAAAUGUCAAAUUACAUGAAAUUUUCAAUGA
This 1708-nucleotide long non-coding RNA is filed under the name Chrysemys picta bellii (western painted turtle). RNAcentral describes it as "lncRNA (ENSCPBG00000012307.1)". The record is from RNAcentral. Lineage: Eukaryota; Metazoa; Chordata; Testudines; Emydidae.